GCAAGUUGUUAAGUGCGAUCGGUGGAUGCCUUGGCACCAAGAGCCGAUGAAGGACGUUGUAACCUGCGAUAAGCCCUGGGGAGUUGGUAAACGAGCUGUGAUCCGGGGGUGUCCGAAUGGGGAAACCUGGAAUGUCCGGAGUAGUGUCCGGUGACCCUGCCCUGAAUGUAUAGGGGUGUGGGAGGUAACGCGGGGAAGUGAAACAUCUUAGUACCCGUAGGAAGAGAAAACAACCGUGAUUCCGUGAGUAGUGGCGAGCGAAAGUGGAUGAGGCUAAACCGUGUGUGUGUUCAAGCCGGCAGGUGUUGCAUGUGCGGGGUUGUGGGGGCCUUUGGGUUCUGCUGCCGCAGGAUUGGCCAGUGAUAAAUGUUGCGUGAAGGUGAAGCGUCUGGGAAGGCGUACCGGAGUGGGUGAGAGUCCCGUAACUGUAAGCGUGGCACUGGUGAGGGUUACCCCAAGUAGCGUGGAACUCGUGGAAUUUCGCGUGAAUCUGGCGGGACCACCCGUCAAGCCUAAAUACUCCUUGGUGACCGAUAGUGGAUCAGUACCGUGAGGGAAUGGUGAAAAGUACCCCGGGAGGGGAGUGAAAUAGUACCUGAAACCGGUCGCAUACAAGCCGUCAGAGCCUUGUGGGGUGAUGGCGUGCCUUUUGAAGAAUGAGCCUGCGAGUUAGUGAUGCGUGGCGAGGUUAACCUGUGUGGGGGAGUCGUAGCGAAAGCGAGUCCGAUAAGGGCGUGAGUCGCGUGUUCUAGACCCGAAGCGGUGUGAUCUAUCCAUGGCCAGGAUGAAGCGUCGGUAAGACGUCGUGGAGGUCCGAACCCACUUCAGUUGAAAAUGGAGGGGAUGAGCUGUGGAUAGGGGUGAAAGGCCAAUCAAACACCGUGAUAGCUGGUUCUCCCCGAAAUGCAUUUAGGUGCAGCGUUGCGUGGUUCUUGUCGGAGGUAGAGCACUGGAUGGUCUAGGGGGCCUAUCAGCUUACCGAAAUCAGCCAAACUCCGAAUGCCGGCAAGUGGAGCGUAGCAGUGAGACGGCGGGGGAUAAGCUUCGUCGUCGAGAGGGAAACAGCCCAGAUCAUCAGCUAAGGCCCCUAAGUGGUAACUCAGUGGAAAAGGAUGUGGAGUUGCGCAGACAGCCAGGAGGUUGGCUUGGAAGCAGCCAUCCUUGAAAGAGUGCGUAAUAGCUCACUGGUCAAGUGAUUCCGCGCCGACAAUGUAGCGGGGCUUAAGUUAUCCGCCGAAGCUGUGGCAAGCCCGUGAGGGUUUGGGUAGGGGAGCGUCCUGUGCGAGGUGAAGCUGCCGGGUGACCGUGUGGUGGAUUGUGCGGGAGUGAGAAUGCAGGCAUGAGUAGCGAAUGACGGGUGGAAAACCCGUCCGCCGAUUAUCCAAGGGUUCCAGGGUCAAGUUAAUCUGCCCUGGGUGAGUCGGGACCUAAGGCGAGGCCGACAGGCGUAGUCGAUGGAUAACCAGUUGAUAUUCUGGUACCGGCUUGUCACCGUCCGUGUCGAGGUGUGUGAUGCUAAGCGUGCGAGCCUGCCUCCGCGACAUCGUUGAUGUGGUGGUGGUGUGGUGAGUGUGUGAACCGAUCAUGUAGUAGGCAAGCUGCGGAGGGACGCAGGGAGGUAGCUCAUCCCCGGCGAUGGUUGUCCGGGGCUAAAUGUGUGGACCGUCUGGUAGGUAAAUCCGCCAGGGUUGUGGUUGAGGCAUGAUGGCGAGCCCACAGGAAGUGGGUGAGUGAGUGAUCCUGUACUGUCGAGAAAAUCUUCGUGAGCGAGGUGGCUGGUCCGCCCGUACCCUAAACCGACACUGGUGGAUAGGUAGAGUAUACCGAGGCGAUCGAGAUCAUCAUGGUGAAGGAACUCGGCAAAAUGCCCCCGUAACUUCGGGAUAAGGGGGACCUGAACUGUCAAGGCUUUUACAGUUGGUAGCGGUGAGGGGCGCAGAGACCAGGGGGAAACGACUGUUUACCAAAAACACAGGUCCGUGCGAAGUCGUAAGACGAUGUAUACGGACUGACUCCUGCCCGGUGCUGGAAGGUUAAGGGGAACUGUUAGCGUUGGCGAAGCGGUGAACUUAAGCCCCAGUAAACGGCGGUGGUAACUAUAACCAUCCUAAGGUAGCGAAAUUCCUUGUCGGGUAAGUUCCGACCUGCACGAAUGG
RNAcentral lists this ribosomal RNA (2156 nucleotides) under human gut metagenome. RNAcentral describes it as "bacterial LSU rRNA". It matches the Rfam family "Bacterial large subunit ribosomal RNA", at positions 1 to 1999 of the family's 2925-position model. The record is from RNAcentral.